RNAcentral lists this ribosomal RNA (492 nucleotides) under uncultured bacterium. Its description in RNAcentral is "partial 16S ribosomal RNA". It matches the Rfam family "Bacterial small subunit ribosomal RNA", at positions 29 to 507 of the family's 1533-position model. The record is from RNAcentral.
AGUGAACGCUGGCGGUAGGCCUAACACAUGCAAGUCGAACGGCAGCACAGUAAGAGCUUGCUCUUACGGGUGGCGAGUGGCGGACGGGUGAGGAAUACAUCGGAAUCUACUUUUUCGUGGGGGAUAACGUAGGGAAACUUACGCUAAUACCGCAUACGACCUACGGGUGAAAGCAGGGGCUCUUCGGCCUUUGCGCGAUUGAAUGAGCCGAUGUCGGAUUAGCUAGUUGGGGGGGUAAAGGCCCACCAAGGCGACGAUCCGUAGCUGGUUUGAGAGGAUGAUCAGCCACACUGGAACUGAGACACGGUCCAGACUCCUACGGGAGGCAGCAGUGGGGAAUAUUGGACAAUGGGCGCAAGCCUGAUCCAGCCAUACCGCGUGGGUGAAGAAGGCCUUCGGGUUGUAAAGCCCUUUUGUUGGGAAAGAAAAGCAGCAGGUUAAUACCCCGCUGUUCUGACGGUACCCAAAGAAUAAGCACCGGCUAACUUCGUG